AUGCUGAGUCAGCUUUCUACAAGUGGAAAUGGAGGUGUCCUCUCUGGGUUCUCCAGCAGCAGAGCCCUGGCAGAUGAGCCUGCGUGCACUGUCGCUGUGCUGGGAAGCAGAGGCGAAGGAUGCAGAAAGGUGGUGAGCCUGGGCAGGGCUGUCUUGGUGCCAGUGCUGGGGCUGCAGCCCCGGAAGUGCCAUAUCCCCUGUGCCAGUGAGGUCGCGUGGAAGGACCAUGUCUCCCACAGGCUGUGGCCCAUCGUGAAGCUGUUGGAGCUGAACCCUGACCACCAGACGACAUCACAUGGCCGUAUUCACAUCUGGGAGAAAUUCAACUACAAAACCAUGAUGAAGUUGGAGCAAUGCCAGAAAUGUCACCUCUGCCCUGUAUCCUGGCUUUCUGGAUACAAAGCCAUAGGAGCGACAGUGUGGAUGACCCAGAGUUCCAACAACAUAUGGAUUCCAGCAAGUGAAAUCCCGAGGCAUUCGAAGAAGUCUCACAGGCGAGGAGAAGGUGACCCACAGGCUCGAGGGAACGGCGCCUGUAUCCGGGCAAAGUUGAGAUCCCUCCAAGGCUUUGGGCCGUGCAGUCCUCUGCCCCAGUGCACUGCUGUGGUGGCUCCCCGGGCAUCACUGUGCUGGGUGGGGGCGGCUCAGGUAACCAUGUCAAGACCCCAUCUGGACUGAGACCUGACCCUAACCAUUUCUUCACAUGAGUCUGCUCUGGCGAAUUACUAGAAUUCUGCCCUGAAGUGUGCUGGGAAGACCUGCAUUCUAGCACGCCUUUCAGAUCUCCUGUGACGCCUGCCUGUCACCCUCACACAUGACCUGCUCCUUCUCUUGGCUCCCUGCGUCCUGCUCUGCACCCACAGAUCUUUACCCAUGCAACGGCACCGUCAGGGCUGGGCUGUGUUUCUCCCAUGCCAGCUCACACCCAGCACUGGGAACAGGAGGUUGCUAGAGGUGAAUGCGCGCUAAGCUCUGGUCACUAACCCAGGGCACCCAGGGCCACACAGAGGGAGGGUGAUGCCACAGUAAAGGAGAAUCAGCCAUGGGCAGGCUGCAGUGGGCUGAGAGGUCUGGGCAGAUUCCAGCGCUGCCUCUUGGCCCCUGGUCUUGGGCGCAGUGAGAAAUACCUUUCUGUUUCUCUAACCUUCCAGCGGUGGCCCUGUACUCCGGUGACCUGCGAGGCUUCAUCUUAUGUGACCACUGGACUGGCCCACAGCCCGACGAGAUAGUGCAUCAGAAGUCACCAAGCGUUUGCGGGAAGGAGGACCCAGGUGGGCACAGUGCAGCACUCAGGGGAAGCCUGAGCCGUGGGGGAUCCACCACACGCUGCUGCCUGCACACCAGAUGGCUCCCUUCUGCCAUUGGCUGAGCAGACUGCAGCUCCGAGGCCCUCACUUGGCCUCAGGGCUUCCAGGAGGACCUGGACCUGGACAGGACUGCACAGCACUAGGCCGGGCUCUGUACCAAGCCAAACGCAGCUGAGUCCUGGAGACGCAGCAGCAAGCCCGGGCCACUGUCUCAGCCUGGGCUCCAGUGGCCGAUGCCUGGGCUGAGAGCGCCAGGCUCCAGGGCUGAGCGCUUUCCAUUGCUGGCUGAGGGGAAGCCUUGGCUGGGGCCUGCAGAGAAGCAAAGGACCUGGCCAGGCCGAGCUUCCCUCCAGGGCCACGCCUCCCUCUGUGGCUACACCCACAUGACAUAGCUUCCUCCCACUAAGCCCCACCACCUCCCAAUAGCACCACAGCCUGGGAACCAAGCCUUGGACACCUGGGCCUUUUAAGAGCCAAGCCUGGAAGGGACCUUCUUUAGUCACGAUUUCUUCAUAGAAUUUUCAUCCUCUGCUGAAGUGGAACAUUGGUGGACUUUCUCUCCCUCUCCCUUGUGAAACUGUCUAUGCAGAGGACCCUAAUACACAGCCCUAUAAACUGUGAGAAUAGAGAAGGCACUAUCCAUGGCUUCGCUUGGAAGCAUGAUUUUAAAAUUUCUAAGAAGUUGAAAGCUAUGAUAAUAACCAUGAAAUAGACAUUCAUAGAGGGACUGUGUCUAAAUGUUCUAAGGUAAAUCCAGAAGCAGGCUGUGUGUUAAAUACAACUCAAGUGAUUUGUGACCCACUGACCACCCGAGAAGUGUGACCAGCAAAGACUGCUGCUACCAAAAUGAGCAGAAUAACCAUGCACUGCAUUUUCCCUCAAUAAGACCUAACUGGAAAAUAAGCCCUAGCAUGAUUUUGUGGGAUGCUUGUAAGAUAAACCAUAACCCAGAAAUCAUUAUGCCCUGGUUAAUAUUGUCAGGCAGACAGAGGCACUUAGUACAUCCGUUACAACACACACCAGAUGUGCUGAAUUAUGAAAUAAUGUUACUAUAGUUAAAUAUAUGUAAAUGUUGGCAUUAAUACUAAAAUAAUAAUAUAAAUUGUAAUUAAGUAUUUGUAAUUAACAAAGUGGGCACCCUGGGACCUGGGGGAAAUGCCUUGCAAACAGAUGAACUUGAAGCUUGCUGCUGCCUGACCUAUCAGAUGAGGACAACACAACGCAGGAAUGACGUGCACACUGCGUAACAAGUGGGUGUGGCUUUGUCUAAUACACAGCUUCAUAAUUACACCAUUGUGUGACAGUGCAGCAGGAGCAGGCUACCCCCAAAAGAUGCGCUCAUCAAAGGACCGCUGAGACCCAGGCUGACGGUUCUACAGGAAGUAGGGUUGCAAGAAAUUCAGGCCAGAAUUUGGGAUUUGAAAAAAUUAUGCUGAUGUUCCAGAAGAUGACAUGACUGAACCUUAAUAAAAGGGAUUUUUUUCACAUGAAUAAAUGUAAUUUUUUGGCAAUGGGGAAUUUAACCCAGGGCCUCACAUAUGCUAGACAAAUGUGCUACUGCCAAAAUGCAACCUUAGUUCUGUAUAAAUUCUUCCUUGUUUGAGACAAGAUCUCAAUAAGUUAUUCAGUCUGCCUCAAAUUUGAGAUCCUCCUGCCUCAGCCUCUCAAGUAGCUGGGAUUACAGGCACGUGCUACCAUUCCCAGUUGCAGAUGGCUUUUAGACGUGAAAAAACCUCAUAAUAUACAAACCAAAUGUUCUAGGCUGACACCAGAAGCCAACAGAUACUUUCUGACAUAUACAACUCC
This is a long non-coding RNA of Cavia porcellus (domestic guinea pig), 3113 nucleotides long. NCBI's taxonomy places the organism in Eukaryota, Metazoa, Chordata, Mammalia, Rodentia, Caviidae. The record is from Ensembl.